AUGGGCCAAUACUUAAAUGGCAAAAACACUGAAUAGUCAGUCUUCAAAAUGUGUGUGUUCGAAAGAGCCCAGAAUAAAACUGUUUUGUUUGCCAUUUUGUGGGGUGCAUGGAUAGAAAGAAAGGGAAAAUACCUAAAAACUAGUCCUGUUGACAGCUAGUUAAUUUGGAUCUUUGGCUGACCUCACUCAGAGCCUGGAGCUAUGAUUUGAGAGGGGAAAAUAUGAAUGGUAUAUAUUAUAUGAAGGCUUGUACAUCUCUUGUAUUUCAACUUGAAAGAUUUCAUUGCAUUUGAAUAAUUUCUUUACUAUCUGUCUUCUGGAAUUUUGUUUCUCUAAUGUGUGUGUUUUCACACAGUGAAGCCAAGUGGAGGCACAUCAGUAUGGGCUGAGAGAGUCCAAUUGGAUAUAAAGUGUGAAAUCCAGGUGCAGAGAUCUGAAUUCUCUGAUUCUUUCCCUCAGUUGCCUAGUUUGCAGCUCCUGUUAUGAGCUAGGCCGAUCCAAAUACCAGAAGACAAGAAUUUAUCCAAGACCUUGGGAUACUACCUGCCAAGAAGAACUCAAAGAAGUUCUCCAGGUCCAGAGUUCGCAUGUGCCUUGCACUUGAGGAAGGAACUUCCUCCUGACUGCUUCGUCUUUUGGUCUGCCAUACUGAAAUAUGAAAAAUGGAUGAAGUAUACAAGAUCUCUUCUACCGAGAAGGUCCAGCAGCUGGAAAGAGAACUAGCAGCACAGCUGGCAGAGCUGAAGGCAGAAAUAGAAGACAAUGGGGUGCUCCAGGGAACACCGAGUAGGGCAUACAGUUCUGUUCCAAUUCCGAAGGAUGCAUCUUAUUUCAGAAAAGAAAGGGAGGUAAUACUGAAGAAAGGCUUACAGGUAGUUGAAGAAUACACUAACUGAAAAUUCUCUUUGCUCUUCACCAAGUAAUAACUGCAAAUUAAAAUCAGAGAAAGUGAUAUGUUUCUUAGAAUGGAGGAGAGCCUGUAAGGACAAGGUGGGAAGGGUCAUAAUGUAGUUUACAUAUUAGUAAAACAGAAUAACCUUUCUUUUAUUUGGAUAAGAUUGGUCUAGCCAUACCAGUAGUGUGGACCUGGCUGUGCAGCUUCUGUUUAUGUGACUACUCCCAAUUAAAUUCAAAGCCUAAAUAUUUUUCUAUAUUUACAGUUUUUUAAUGAUAUCUUUGAAAGAUCUGUUCGACAUGUAGCUACUCUAUUUGCAGGUGGCUGAGGCAAAACCUCUUGUUAUUCAGGCUGAUGUCAUGCAGAGGGAGUUAGAGAGCUGCUUGAGAAGGGAAUAUACGGCUGCAAACUUAGCUCUGCUGCUGCACCAGGUAGUAUUUCUAUUUGCUGCAAGGUUCCAAGAGAUCUGCUUUAGCUUAGCAGGUUGUGGUAUGAUUUUAAAAUGAGAAUAAAAUGAAAUUCCUCCCUGAAAGCA
Molecule: long non-coding RNA, 1430 nt
Filed under: Struthio camelus australis
Lineage: Eukaryota; Metazoa; Chordata; Aves; Struthioniformes; Struthionidae
Description: lncRNA (ENSSCUG00000008861.1)
Source: RNAcentral